CCAGACUCCUACGGGAGGCAGCAGUGGGGGAUAUUGCACAAUGGGGGGAACCCUGAUGCAGCAACGCCGCGUGAGUGAGGAAGUAUUUCGGUAUGUAAAGCUCUAUCAGCAGGGAAUAGAAAAGAAGGUACCUGAAAAAGAAGCCCCGGCUAACUACGUGCCAGCAGCCGCGGUAAUACGUAGGGGGCAAGCGUUAUCCGGAUUUACUGGGUGUAAAGGGAGCGUAGACGGAAAGGCAAGUCAGAAGUGAAAGCCCAAGGCUCAACCAUGGGACUGCUCUUGGAACUGCGCGGCUGGAGUGCAGGAGGGGCAGGCGGAAUUCCUGGUGUAGCGGUGAAAUGCGUAGAUAUCAGGAGGAACACCGGUGGCGAAGGCGGCCUGCUGGACUGCGACUGACGUUGAGGCCCGAAAGCGUGGGGAGCAAACAGGAUUAGAUACCCCGGUAGA
This 447-nucleotide ribosomal RNA is filed under the name uncultured bacterium. Its description in RNAcentral is "partial 16S ribosomal RNA". It matches the Rfam family "Bacterial small subunit ribosomal RNA", at positions 331 to 794 of the family's 1533-position model. The record is from RNAcentral.